ACCUGGCUGGCUCAGUAGAGCAUGUGACUCUUGAUCACAAGGUUGUGAGUUUGAGUCCCAAGUUGGGCA
This 69-nucleotide transfer RNA is filed under the name Canis lupus familiaris (dog). It matches the Rfam family "tRNA". Rfam says of the family: Transfer RNA (tRNA) molecules are approximately 80 nucleotides in length. Their secondary structure includes four short double-helical elements and three loops (D, anti-codon, and T loops). The record is from Rfam by way of RNAcentral. RNAcentral also lists the same sequence under 3 other names. Lineage: Eukaryota; Metazoa; Chordata; Mammalia; Carnivora; Canidae.